UGCAGUCGAGGGGCAGCAGACCACUUCGGUGGUGCUGGCGACCGGCGCACGGGUGAGUAUCGCGUUUGCAACCUACCCUUAACUGGGGGAUAGCCCGAAGAAAUUCGGAUUAAUACCCCAUUAAAUUUAAGAACGGCAUCGUUUUUUUAUUAAAGCUCUGGCGGUUAAGGAUGGGCAUGCGUGACAUUAGUUUGUUGGUGAGGUAACGGCUCACCAAGACUACGAUGUCUAGGGGGUCUGAGAGGAUGAUCCCCCACACUGGUACUGAGACACGGACCAGACUCCUACGGGAGGCAGCAGUGAGGAAUAUUGGGCAAUGGACGCAAGUCUGACCCAGCCAUGCCGCGUGCAGGAUGACGGCCCUAUGGGUUGUAAACUGCUUUUAUACAGGAAGAAACCCUCCUACGUGUAGGAGGUUGACGGUACUGUAAGAAUAAGCAUCGGCUAACUCCGUGCCAGCAGCCGCGGUAAUACGGAGGAUGCAAGCGUUAUCCGGAUUUAUUGGGUUUAAAGGGUGCGCAGGCGGGGCAAUAAGUCAGUGGUGAAAUCCUGCGGCUUAACCGUAGAACUGCCAUUGAUACUGUUGCCCUUGAGUAUAGUUGAGGUGGGCGGAACAUGUAAUGUAGCGGUGAAAUGCAUAGAUAUUACAUAGAACACCAAUUGCGAAGGCAGCUCACUAAACUAUCACUGACGCUGAGGCACGAAAGCGUGGGGAGCGAACAGGAUUAGAUACCCUGGUAGUCCACGCCGUAAACGAUGAUCACUCGUUGUUGGCAAUAUAUCGUCAGCGACUGAGCGAAAGCA
This 804-nucleotide ribosomal RNA is filed under the name uncultured bacterium. RNAcentral describes it as "bacterial SSU rRNA". It matches the Rfam family "Bacterial small subunit ribosomal RNA", at positions 56 to 859 of the family's 1533-position model. The record is from RNAcentral.